Molecule: non-coding RNA, 1033 nt
Organism: Lonchura striata (white-rumped munia)
Lineage: Eukaryota; Metazoa; Chordata; Aves; Passeriformes; Estrildidae
Source: RefSeq, a predicted model, not a curated record
GCCAUGCCGCCCCCGGGCCCGCCGGGCAGCUGAGGAGCCCUUCUCCUUGACGGCUGAACAGGGACUGCUUUUGUUCCAUCAGAAAACAGCGGGCUCCUCAGCGGAAAGCAGCGCCUGCUUCUCUUCUCCUGGUGCAGCCCUGGCGCUGCGCCGCCGCUCCCUGACCAGAGCGUUGCGUUUUGCGAAAGUCAGAAAGGUUUCGCCGGGUAUUGUCUGUACCCAAACUGCUAAAUGAUCUUUAAGUCACGGCUUCAUUUUUGGCAUCCUUGUUUAUAUCUGCAUUGCUUCAAUAUUUUCUUCUUAGAAAUGUGGAUGGACAAAGAGUGAGACUGCACUCAGGGCCAGUUCUUCUCAUUACUGUGGCAAACAGUCCUCAUGAGUCAGGUUUGCUGGCAUGGACACAUUCUGAGACUGCCCUGCCUCAGGCUUUGGCUGAUUUUUAAAUGUGCCUUAAGCAAUAAAGUAUUUUGUUUAUGAAAUGUGCUUACAAGCAUCACUAACCAAAUCUCUAGUUCUCUGCUGAUGGAACAUUCUGUAUUAUCAUCGCUGCUAUUUUUUUCAGUGGAUGCAGAAAUACAAACAUGAAUUACACAUUCUAGGCAAGAAUAUGGACAGGGGCUGUGGGUCAGAUUUUGUAUGAGUUCAUGGAAGUUAUUUGUCUCCCUGAGCACAAACAAGGUCAGGAGUAUGAACAAAGAACUAUUUUGUGCUACCCAAAUAGCUAACCCAAAUGAUGUUUGAGAGUGACCUUUCAGUUUAUCUGAUAUAUCUUUCUGUCAAGGUUAAGGGAAUUUGAUUUUAUGGCAGAGGACACUAGAUGUGUUUAUUUGUUCUACCAGUGGCUACAGCACAGAACUGGCUUUUGGCCAGAUGAAGACUGAUGUAAUUUCAAACACUGUUUUGAUUAGAUUUCCAUUGAAAUCACCAGACUGGUGUUUUUGGGGUUUGUUUUGUUUUAUUUUCCUUUUAAUAUAACAGUACUUUAUAGUGCUUAACUUCCAGUAGAGAUAAAGCAGUAUUUGUAAAUAUAGCA